Molecule: transfer RNA, 77 nt
Filed under: Candidatus Nomurabacteria bacterium
Lineage: Bacteria; Candidatus Nomuraibacteriota
Description: tRNA-Lys
Rfam family: tRNA
About the family: Transfer RNA (tRNA) molecules are approximately 80 nucleotides in length. Their secondary structure includes four short double-helical elements and three loops (D, anti-codon, and T loops).
Source: RNAcentral
GAGUCAGUAGCUCAGCUGGUUAGAGCACCUGCCUUUUAAGCAGGGUGUCGUGAGUUCAAGUCUCACCUGACUCACCA